Molecule: long non-coding RNA, 4865 nt
Organism: Corvus hawaiiensis (hawaiian crow)
Lineage: Eukaryota; Metazoa; Chordata; Aves; Passeriformes; Corvidae
Exons: 5
Source: RefSeq, a predicted model, not a curated record
AACAGAUUAAGAGGCCACCUUUGAUGUGCUGUUUUCUCCUAUUACUGCAAGUUGCAGUACUGUGAUCUGUCAUUCCCUGUGUGGAUAUUCAAAGGUGUGUGCACAUGGACAGCCCUCAGCUGGGUAACUGGGAGAUGGGUACCCAGCUGCAUUAUUCCAAUUUUGAAUAUGUGCAAUUCCACCCGUUUCAGAGGUGUUUCACCUGCAGUAAAACUGCCUCAGCAAGGUGGUUCUUGUCAAAGUCUUAUAGCUUAAACCUGCUUUUUUCCUCCAGAGAUCAUUCUUGCUGGAGGUAGAUGAAUCCUAGUCCACACUCCUGUUUCAAGGCAUGAAUUUCUCUUGGACACUAGGGCCAAGCUGCAGCCCUGAGCAAUAACAAGACCAUACCCAGCACCCAGAGUCCAUAGAAGAGCCCUGGAAUCAGAAAUUGCAACCUACUUUGAAGCGAUUUUGUUUACUGCCUGUGCAAGUCCAGACCUUGCCUUGGGUACACAGUGGGGACUUGCUACAAGAGGACAUGAGUGGAGAUGAGGAGGUAGGGAUGGAUGUUAUUUGCAAGCUAUCAAGCUCACUGCUUGUGAGAGAAUGGAAAACCUUUGUCUGACAAAGACGAUUUUGUGGGGUUUAAAGGCAAGGCUUGCUUGUCAUCCACACACCAAGGGAUCUCUGAUAGGAGAAUAUCUCGUGCCAUGAUCCCAUCUAAUCUUGAGAAGCAGUACAAGCCAGCAGGAGUGAUGCCUUCAGUAGCUGCCUGGUCAGCCACAAUGCUCCCUUUCCAAAACUGCACCCCGUUCCUGAGAUUAGGAUAGAUGCUGGUGUGAGCCCCCCCAUAUCACAGGCUGCCAGUUGCUCAGAAAUCCCUGCUCUGAAUGGGUGAAUGGGUGGUUUCAUGGUGGGUUGAAAGUACAGCCCUGUCCUCAGUGUAACCUUUAAACUUGAUUAAAAAGCUUCCAGGGCCAGGCAGCCUGGGCUGCAUCCUUUGUUCAAUUCUGGCAGUGGCUCUUGCAUUCCCUAAUCCCUGUUAAUAUCACUGCUUGUCAAAGAAGAUUUGUGCCUUUCCUGGAAGAUGGACGCCUAUUUUGUACCAGCCAGGGAAGAAGGAGACGCCUCAUCAGCUGGUGCCGGGAAGAGUGAGUAGCAGACAAGAAAGGCAUCCUGUUUUCUGGGGAGAAGGAGCAGGAGGUUUAAUAUGAAAAGCUGUGAUUCAACUUUGUGCAGAAAGCUGUUCAUCAAGCUCCCAGAAAAGCUGACCCAGCUGGGAUCUCUCCCAAGCAAGCGUGAAUGGUGCCUUGGGCAGGAGUGGGACAGGAGGACUACAAUGGGAGAAUUUCUAAAUCAUUACUAUUGUUUAUUCACAGACAUUGAAUAUUUUUAUGCUCAACAGUUUCUUUGGAUCUCUGGUGUUAAUAAACUGUAUAAAAUACAUACAUCAUCCUCCUUCCUUUUCCAUGAAAAUGUGACAUUUUCUCGCCUACAGAUUUUGAAUUUUACCUUCUUGGUUGCACAAUAUGAGAAAAAUAUGGCCUGCAUAAUGAAAACCAGAAACCUCAUGGCUUGAGAUGUUCUUCAGUGUGAUAAAUGGAUGUGAAAAAUCAUUUGUGUUGGAGCCAUAGCACUGGUGUUGUGCGUUAUUAUUGGUACACAAGCAGGCCAGCUGGCGACACAGCUUAAACUAUGCUCCAGGUGGAGGAAAAAGCUGAAACAGUGGCAUCAAGGGUAGUUGAUAGUUCAAAGCAAAACUUCCUUAUCUUUACCUUUUCUCACUUGGUACUUGCUAGGAUCUCAUUGUGGUUCAACUCUAGUCAGAAACUAAGCCCCACACAGUGAGUCAUUCACUUGCUCCCCACUGGGAUAGGGAAGAGAAUCAGAAGAGUAAAAGUGAGAGAGCUUGUGUGUUGAGAUAAAGACAGCUUAACAGGUAAAGCAAAAGCUGCACACACAAGCGAAGCAGGACAUGGAAUGCAUUCACCACUUCCCACCACUUCAGGCAGGUGUUCAGCCAUCCCCAGGAAAGCAGGGCUCUAUCAUGUGUGAUGGUGACUUGGGUAGACAAACACCAUCAGUCCAAAUGUCCCUCCCUCUCUCCUUCCCCCAGCUAUAUAAGCUGAGCAUGAUGCCAUAUGGUCUAGGAUACUCCUUUGGUCAGCUGGGGUCAGCUGUCUCCGCUGUGCCCUCUCACAACUUCCUGUGCACCCCCAGCCCACUCUCUGCUGGGGUGGGAGGCAGAAAAGGUCCUGCCUCAGUGUCAGCACUGCUCAGCUGUAACAAACACAUCCCUGAGUUAUCAACACUGUUUUGGUCACAAAUCCAAACCAUAGCCCCACAGCAGCUACUAUGAAGAAAAUUAACUAUCCUAGCCAAAACCAACACAGACCUUUCUACAGGUUAUUUUCCUAGAAGUCCUGUUGGAAGACUUUUGCUCCUAAAGGAACAAGGCUGGAGAAAAGCAACUGCAGCCUGCUACCUCAGCAUACCUGUAAUACAGCUGGUAUUUCUCAAAUCUCUUCCAAUACUUUUAGUUUUUCUUCGAGGUCGCUUUAAAUUACCUGUUUCAAACCACAUUGUUUAAAUCUAAUUUAUGGGCGCCAAAGGCACAUCUAAGCAAUCGCUGUCACCUCUCCUUCCUGGUGCCUAAAUUCAUAAUGCCACUUCAUGAGAUAAAGUCUCCAGUGUCCAUGCUGACCCAAGGUGUUCUUGACACGUAGUACCUGUCCUUGUCCCUGUCCCCAUGUGUGGCACUGCAGUCCCCCAGCUCCCUGGCACACUUUGCACAACACUGAAUUGAACUGAGGAGCUGAUCUGGCUUAAAGAACAUCUGCCAAAACCCUUCCCCCUCGUCCUGUUUUUUAAUCUGGAUCAAUUCUCUAGUCUGGCCCUGAUGUUAAUAGAGCUGACAGGGAAGAAGAAAAGCUGGAGGAUGAGGGGUGAAAAGGUGAGAGAGUAAGAAAAAUCUUCAUCUCGUCCUGUUGCUGUGGUGUCUGUCCCAUGAACUCUCUACUGUCAGACACCACACUGGGAGAGGUCACCCCAAACCUUUAAAAUUUAUUGAGUCUCUGCUUCAGCAGAAGUUACCUCAGGAGAAUCUCUGUCAGGCUGUGACUACUGGAGGGAUGUCAGGCAGUAGUAAGGAGAAUGUGGUGAAUGCUUGGAAAGAAUGAAGGAGAUGUUGGAAGAAAUGGUACUUUACAUGAGAAAACCAGUGGGAACAGUCUAAACACCUAAACACCUGCCUUCUUAGGAGAUGCACCUGUAGGAGGAAGAACGUACAAGCCAUUCAGGGAAGGGUGAUCACUGCAGGCUCUGUUGUGCAGUCAGGCACAGUGUCACAGGUGCAUCAGCCUAUGGGAACAAGACUUGCUUGGGUUUUUUUUUCCUUCAACAAACUGUAAUUUUAUGUAUAUACAUAUGUAUUAAUACAGGGCAAGCCAAAUGUGGCCACAAACACCCUUUUCACAUGCUUUCUGCCAAGAAAUCCACCCUGAGUUGCACAUGAAGCCUUGCCCCUAGGAACUAUCUCUGUACAGACAAGCAGUUUACAGCCCAUGACCCCAAACCAUCUGCAGAUGCCAUUGUUAUUGCCCUCAGUGUUUGUCUGCAUCCCAAGGGUAUAUAAACUUCACUUUCCAUCCCCACCCCUGUUUUAAAUAGUAAUAGGUCAUCCCAGAAGCAUGUUUACUUACUUGUCAUUUUUGGACUUAAAUACAGAGCAGCCCAAAUCGCUUGAGACUUAAAAUUUUCUAAUUAACCAGUGGGAAACAGUGGAAGAACUUUGCAAAGUACAAUGCACAGCUAAACCAAAUGAUCACCCUUGAGUUUAGGCACAGGAAUGUGGAUACCCAGCAUUGCCACCCACAAGAUUUUUUUUUUCUUUAUUUCUCCAUUUGUGCAGGCUUUAAGAACUUCUGAUGUCUCUGCAUUGCUUCUGGUCAGUGGAGAGCUAAGACACCUGUAGCAAGGUGGGAACAGCAUCCUGUGCAAGAGCCUCCAGUUGUUGCCCUUUGAGGAGAGUGGAGAGGUAAACCUUCUGGAGAUGCAUCCAGGACUCAUGCAGUGGGAAAACCUCCCAGUCCCUGGUAGAAUCAAAUUUCUCCAGCUCACCAGUUGCUGAAAAAGUACAGAGGGAAAGCUUGUCUUUGUGGGAAAAAAUGACAGGGUGUCCCUGAAACCCCACGUACACCACACAGAGAUGACUCCUGGUGCUUCAGAGGUGGGCUUGGCAGAGCCCCCAGGUCUGUCCCCAGUGCAUGCCUGGGACCCUGUAGGUCUUACCACGCUGCAAAAGGAGACAGAUUUUUGACACAUUAUCCUUUAUGUAGAGGUAUCUAGAGGUUAUGACAUGCAAUGAACUGACCAGACUGAGUUUCUUGUAUUACCUUGGCUGUUAUAUUAUGUAAGGGAGGCAGAGUGUCCUCACAUUAUUAUUAUUAUUGUAAUUAAAGAAUAUUGUGCUUUUAAUUUGUACAGUUCCUUCCUCAGCAUUGUUUGAUACAAAUAGAUGAUAACAGACUGGUUAUUGUGAGUUAUUAAUAACGUAUUGUUUGCUCACCAUAUGCCUAGGAGACAGAGCAGUAAGUGGGGCUGCUGUGUCCUAGGUGUCGCUCCCUGCACUCACAACUGAGUGGAUAUCUUUGAUCUCUCUUUGCCUCCCGAGAUCUCUCUUCAGUUUGGACUUACUGCUUACCAUUCCCUUUGCCCCCACCCCUGGUUACCUCUAUGUUUGAGGGAUUCUGGAGAAAACAAGAACAGUUUGUUCUGCCUUUGCCAAUACCUCUUGCAUUUGUAUGGAGUGGAUGCUCUGGUCUGUUUUUAAUUUCCAUGAUUCUACAGUGCUUUUGAGUCCAAAGUGCUAAAUAUAGAUCUAACCC